Molecule: transfer RNA, 69 nt
Filed under: Allobates sp. Neblina
Lineage: Eukaryota; Metazoa; Chordata; Amphibia; Anura; Aromobatidae
Description: tRNA-Ala
Rfam family: tRNA
About the family: Transfer RNA (tRNA) molecules are approximately 80 nucleotides in length. Their secondary structure includes four short double-helical elements and three loops (D, anti-codon, and T loops). Further hydrogen bonds mediate the characteristic L-shaped molecular structure. tRNAs have two regions of fundamental functional importance: the anti-codon, which is responsible for specific mRNA codon recognition, and the 3' end, to which the tRNAs corresponding amino acid is attached (by aminoacyl-tRNA synthetases). tRNAs cope with the degeneracy of the genetic code in two manners: having more than one tRNA (with a specific anti-codon) for a particular amino acid; and 'wobble' base-pairing, i.e. permitting non-standard base-pairing at the 3rd anti-codon position.
Source: RNAcentral
GAGGCUUUAUCUUAAUUAAAGUAUUUGACUUGCAUUCAAAAGAUGAAGAUUAAAGGUCUUCAAGUCUUA